AUAUUAUUGACUCGGUUCUAAACAUCACCACGCUUCUGUUUGACUCGGUUUUAUUGCUGAAAUCGGAUUGUACUGGGCGGUGCUUGGCCGGGUUUUUUCAAUGAGGAGCACGGGAACGGCGUUUGCUCUGCAGAUACUCUGGAUCGAAGCCGUGAUGUUUGGAGUUGCGAGGAUUCGGAUUCUUUUUUCCCGCUGAUCACCUCGCUGUUAUGGUCCAUGGAAUCUUAGGGAGUACGGAGGAUUGGAAGUUUGGAGCUGAGCAAUUAGUCAGAAGGCUCAGCGAUAACGUGUUUGUUUCACUGUAAGCAGUCCCUUUUCCUUAGUUCUUGGUGUGACAUUUGCUAGUAGGAAGAGCAAUGAAUGUGCUAAUUGUGUUUAGGAUUUGGCUAUCUCUGUCUUGCUUGCUGAUUUGUGUUGUACUUGCAUUUAGUGGAUCCAAUUGUAAAUUAUAUCAGUUGUAAAUCCCAUUUGUUAUCAACUUAUGACUGCAAGAAAGUCACAUGCAUUAUUUGCCGCGAAA
This is a long non-coding RNA of Tarenaya hassleriana, 520 nucleotides long. RefSeq lists it as uncharacterized. The transcript has 2 exons. The record is from RefSeq and is a predicted model, not a curated record. Lineage: Eukaryota; Viridiplantae; Streptophyta; Magnoliopsida; Brassicales; Cleomaceae.